GGGGCUAUAGCUCAGUGGUAGAGCAUUCUCCUUGCAUGUGGAAGGCACUGGGUUCAAUCCUCAGCACCA
This 69-nucleotide transfer RNA is filed under the name Ictidomys tridecemlineatus (thirteen-lined ground squirrel). RNAcentral describes it as "Spermophilus tridecemlineatus (thirteen-lined ground squirrel) tRNA". It matches the Rfam family "tRNA". Rfam says of the family: Transfer RNA (tRNA) molecules are approximately 80 nucleotides in length. Their secondary structure includes four short double-helical elements and three loops (D, anti-codon, and T loops). Lineage: Eukaryota; Metazoa; Chordata; Mammalia; Rodentia; Sciuridae. The record is from Rfam by way of RNAcentral.